CGUGUAGGCGGCCUGAUAUGUCAGAUGUGAAAGCCCUGGGCUCAACCCAGGAAGUGCAUUUGAAACUGUCAGGCUUGAGUAGGGGAGAGGGAAGUGGAAUUCCUGGUGUAGAGGUGAAAUUCGUAGAUAUCAGGAGGAACACCGGUGGCGAAGGCGACUUCCUGGCCCUAUACUGACGCUGAGACGCGAGAGCGUGGGUAGCAAACA
This 207-nucleotide ribosomal RNA is filed under the name uncultured delta proteobacterium. RNAcentral describes it as "partial 16S ribosomal RNA". It matches the Rfam family "Bacterial small subunit ribosomal RNA", at positions 568 to 774 of the family's 1533-position model. Lineage: Bacteria; Deltaproteobacteria. The record is from RNAcentral.